CUUUUGCUAACUUGAAACACAAGGACCUCAAUGCAUCAUAUUUCAUGUUUGUUUUUUAUGCUGCAGGAAAGAUCUACAGACAGCUCGGGGUCCCGUUGAAGCAUGUCUCUGUCCAGACGCUGCUCCUGCCCAUUUAGAGCUAGUCCCUGUCCCAGGAGCAAGCAGAUAGGCACUCACGCAGGAAAGGGAGGUGGUGAGAGGAGACGUUUCUUGUUUCCGACACAGCCCAGGUGAAAGUUCUAAAGCGCAGCCGUGCGAUGCAUAGCAAUGAUGUCGUUUCGGACAGAGCACAGCGAAUCAGGUUGCAAAAGACGAGGCUGGCAGAGGUUAUCCCAACGACUUACUAAAGCUGCAAGUUUCCGUCAUUCCCGUUUUCUCCACUGAUGCUUCCUGUGACACAUAGGGAAAAGAAAUGUGACAUGUACCUGUGAGGGAGGUAGCAGGAUUCGACCUUCCGUCUUGUUACACGUUAGCAUUCUUCGUGGGAACGGUCACUGAGCUUUCAUAUCUGCCUUGGUUUUGCCAACGCUAGCUCCUCUGCUUUCUCCGUUCUUUGCAUCUGAGAACAAAUACAUUUGAAAAAUAGUUUUUGAUCAGGGAAAUGAAGUGCUCACCUGCUUUUCAUUCCAAUUCUUUGUUGUUAUUUUGUUCUUCUUUAAAUGCAAAUUUCUACAGUACUUCUUUUGUGUAGGGGCGAUAGCCAGCAACUUGAUCUGCCUUAACUUUUAUGUUUGCUCUCUGGUAACGUUAUCCAUGUUUUUUUCUCUCACCAGAACAUAUGGGCUAUUAACAUGUGAAUUAUGAGAACUGCUUUUUAUCUUUCUUUGUGGUACUGUGGUGUCCCAGUCUUUGGUCUGCAACGCUGUCUCAAUAGGUAUCUGAUAUUUGUUUUCUUCAGCACGUCUGAGCUGAGAUGCGCUCCGUACAGCGGCAAUGCAGCGGUCGGAUGGGUGAGCUGCACAAGCACAACCAUGUUGCGUGAUCCCAAGAGCACUAAAUUUUCAAAUAACAGCAGGUUCGUCUAUGAGGGCUUCCCCCGUGUGAUGAAGGCCCUUGAGUUGUGCCAACAGCCCAUGCUAGCACAGCUUCCUGACUUUCAGCCGCAGCCAUACCAUACGCCUUGCAGAGCUACCAUACAUUUGACUUUAUAAAAUCCCAUGCUGUCGUAGUAAUUUCUAGCCUGUAAACAGGAGUUUUGUGAUUCACAACACAAGCAACGGCAAAUAACUGGGAUUAAGGGCAAACAAAACCUUUAUAUAUGUAUGUUUAAAUUGCUAGUAAAUAUAGUAAGAUUGGAGGAUGCAUUGAAUGAAUAGUCCGAGCACCUAGUCCCAUGCAGCUGCCCAGAAGACCAGGGUGCACAGCCCGCUCCCACUGGUGCUGUCACAGCCGUCCCCAUUUCCCUCUUACACUGCCCAACUUGUGUUAGCAAGGGGCUCAAAACUGCCCUCUCCUCAUCGAAGAGCUGCUCACAGGCUAAGUGCAAGGGAAGGACUAAAAAUCACAGUUCCUCAAGGAGGGACUUUGGUGCAGCUCGAGGGACGGCAGCCUCCUGGGGCACGUGCGCCCCGUCGCCAGCAGGGCAGCGCACUACCUGCAGAAAGAGCAGCCAAAGGCGGCCAGCUUUGCCCCAUAAGCCAAACGCCAGCUUUCACACCAAGACUGAAGCCCCCCAGCUACGAGGAGUAACAUCUGCCCCUGCCUUGGGGGGUUUUCAUUGCGGAUAAGACCGCCCCAAACCCAUGCUCUUGAAGGCUGUACUGGGUGAGGAUUGCGAUUUCUUAAAGCAGCUGUCAAAAAAAAAUCUAUAUUAAAAAAAUCAAAAAUCAAAAGGGGAUGAAAUCCUGUUACCAAGAACUGCUGAGUUUUCCACAGUUCUAUUUUAUCAUAACAGAAGGCAUAACGGGCAAUUGUACUGCAGAGGGGUUACGCGCGCGGGGUGCUGCGAGACAUCCGAGCCUGCACGAUUGCUCAGCAGAGACAACCAUUUCGACUGUGUUCUGGGGUUCCUGCUGUGAUACUUCGCAUACAAGCAGGAUUGCUCCCAUUUUAUGCUCAUUUUGUUGGGUUUUUUUGUUUCCUUUUUUCUUUUUUGAAAAAGGGGAGGUGGCAGGUUUUGCAUUACCCACUUCCCUGUAAUUAAUCUAUAUCACAGCUAUAUGCUUCCUCAACCUAUAUUUCUGUUUCCUAGUAUAUUCAAUUCUUAUAUCUCAGUCAAUAUAUUACCUCCCCUGCCAAAAAAGAAUUAUUUGUAUAACCAGAUUAGUACUGAAUUUAUACUGUGUCUGAAGUACAGCUUUACUCACUUCGUUAUUCAGUUUGCUAUAAAUGUUGGGAAUAAAUUCCAAGAGAGAGAAUCA
RNAcentral lists this long non-coding RNA (2360 nucleotides) under Struthio camelus australis. RNAcentral's name for it is "lncRNA (ENSSCUG00000000834.1)". The record is from RNAcentral. Lineage: Eukaryota; Metazoa; Chordata; Aves; Struthioniformes; Struthionidae.